AACGGAGGGCGCAAGCGUUGCUCGGAAUUACUGGGCGUAAAGCGCGUGCAGGCGGUCGAGUAAGUCGGUUGUGAAAUCCCCAGGCUCAACCUGGGAACCGCAUCCGAAACUGCUCGGCUAGAGUCCCGGAGAGGGAGGCGGAACUCCCAGUGUAGGGGUGAAAUCCGUAGAUAUUGGGAAGAACACCGGCGGCGAAAGCGGCCUCCUGGACGGUGACUGACGCUGAGACGCGACAGCGUGGGGAGCAAACAGG
RNAcentral lists this ribosomal RNA (253 nucleotides) under uncultured bacterium. RNAcentral describes it as "partial 16S ribosomal RNA". It matches the Rfam family "Bacterial small subunit ribosomal RNA", at positions 524 to 776 of the family's 1533-position model. The record is from RNAcentral.